This 825-nucleotide long non-coding RNA is filed under the name Crocodylus porosus (Australian saltwater crocodile). Its description in RNAcentral is "lncRNA (ENSCPRG00005009579.1)". The record is from RNAcentral. Lineage: Eukaryota; Metazoa; Chordata; Crocodylia; Crocodylidae.
AUGCCCAGGACCCCGCCGCGAGGGUCCAGCUCCCGCACACGACACGCACGACUCCCCGAGGCGACGGGGCACAACACCAGGCAGAGGUGGGGAGAAGCCUACAUAUCCCACCGGCUCUGGCAGCCGCUGUACCCCCCAGUGCCCGGCCCGGCCCCACCAGCCCCGGAGCGGCCGCCGCGCCUGAUCCCCGUAAUGCGUUUCCCACCUGCCCGCGGGCGCCCCGCGCUCCCCGGCGCCAGCGCGUCCGUCUCCGUCCCCUCACAGCGGCAACUGAGCCCCCGCGCGCGCCAACACGCACCUCACUGCCGCCCUGCGCCGCAUCCCUCCGCCGGCCCCGGCCUUCCACUACGGCCCCCCUGCAGCCAACAAGCCACGGGAGCCGCCGCCACCGCAGGCGAAAGGGAGACGGCGGAGGCGCCCUGUCGCCCGCGGGCCACGGCGGGUCUGAGGGUGGCCUCCGCGCGAAGCCCCGCCGAGCCCCGGCAGGCGAGUCCCGCGGAAGGAUACACGACGCAGCGACAGCCGCGGUCAUGCUUCAUUUGGGACAUACACUCCAGUGCUCAGAGCCAACCCUAGGCAGUUUGCCAUCACCACACCUCCACCCCCACCAUCACUGUCUGCAGGUGGUCGCCCACUGUGCCCCACCCCCAGCCUUCAGGGACACGGGUUGUUCACGUUCUACUGCUCUGUAGCUCAACUUUGGAGUUCCAGGAGCCAAGAAGACUGUUAAGAACAGAAAGAGGUUCUUUCACAAGGAUAAAGUGACUUGGCUUCUAGUAGGCUAUUUUUAAUAAAAUAGUUGCAGUAUUGUAAGAGUGAUGUAGU